AAGAACGCAGCUAGCUGCGAGAAUUAAUGUGAAUUGCAGGACACAUGAUCAUCGACACUUCGAACGCACUUGCGGCCCCGGGUUCCUCCCGGGGCUACGCCUGUCUGAGCGUCG
This 114-nucleotide ribosomal RNA is filed under the name Pelusios castaneus (West African mud turtle). RNAcentral describes it as "5.8S ribosomal RNA (ENSPCEG00000009228.1)". It matches the Rfam family "5.8S ribosomal RNA", at positions 39 to 154 of the family's 154-position model. Rfam says of the family: 5.8S ribosomal RNA (5.8S rRNA) is a component of the large subunit of the eukaryotic ribosome. The record is from Rfam by way of RNAcentral. Lineage: Eukaryota; Metazoa; Chordata; Testudines; Pelomedusidae.